RNAcentral lists this microRNA precursor (89 nucleotides) under Pelobates cultripes (western spadefoot toad). Lineage: Eukaryota; Metazoa; Chordata; Amphibia; Anura; Pelobatidae. The record is from RNAcentral.
CUCCAGAUGUUGCUGAACUACAACUCUCAUGAUUCUCAGCCUAUUUAAUUCAUAAAAUCAUGGGUAUUGUAAUUCAGCAACAUCUGGAG